Octopus sinensis (East Asian common octopus) is the source of this 147-nucleotide long non-coding RNA. RefSeq lists it as uncharacterized. NCBI's taxonomy places the organism in Eukaryota, Metazoa, Mollusca, Cephalopoda, Octopoda, Octopodidae. The record is from RefSeq and is a predicted model, not a curated record. The transcript is spliced from 3 exons.
AUUGCAAAACACCGGUAUCUGCCAAGACUGUGAUUUUGCUCAGCUUGAUGGGUCUUCUCAAGCAUGACAUAAUGCCAAAGGUCUUGGUCAUUGCCUCCAUGAAGCCCAAAACUCAAAAGGAACUCAGCCACUUUACUUCCAUGAGGC